AGAGUUUGAUCCUGGCUCAGGAUGAACGCUAGCUACAGGCUUAACACAUGCAAGUCGAGGGGAAACGACAUCGAAAGCUUGCUUUUGAUGGGCGUCGACCGGCGCACGGGUGAGUAACGCGUAUCCAACCUGCCCAUCACUUGGGGAUAACCUUGCGAAAGUAAGACUAAUACCCAAUGACGUCUCUAGAAGACAUCUGAAAGAGAUUAAAGAUUUAUCGGUGAUGGAUGGGGAUGCGUCUGAUUAGCUUGGUUGGCGGGGUAACGGCCACCAAGGCGACGAUCAGUAGGGGUUCUGAGAGGAAGGUCCCCCANAUUGGAACUGAGACACGGUCCAAACUCCUACAGGAGGCA
Molecule: ribosomal RNA, 353 nt
Filed under: uncultured bacterium
Lineage: Bacteria
Description: bacterial SSU rRNA
Rfam family: Bacterial small subunit ribosomal RNA
Source: RNAcentral